Ovis aries (sheep) is the source of this 72-nucleotide transfer RNA. It matches the Rfam family "tRNA". From Rfam's summary of the family: Transfer RNA (tRNA) molecules are approximately 80 nucleotides in length. The record is from Rfam. NCBI's taxonomy places the organism in Eukaryota, Metazoa, Chordata, Mammalia, Artiodactyla, Bovidae.
UCCCUGUUGGCUCAGAUGGUAAAGAAUCUGCCCACAAUGCAGAAGACCUGGGUUCAAUCCCUGAAUUGGGAA